CGGGUCCCUGCUGGGCGGGAAGGCGGCACCCCGGCGGAGGUGGCGGCGGCUCCUCAGGGUUACGUCUCAUACCUAUAUACCUGUGAUAAAGUGUAACUAUAAAUGAAACACUGCAAGAGACUGACAACAAAUAAUAAAAUAGAACAAUUUAUGACAAUACUCAGGGCAGCGUGCAAUUUAAAACAUUGGAGAAGAAGUUGUCCAUGCUCACACUGGGUGAAGGAAGCUGAAACCACAGACAUGGCUGAGUCCUCCAUAAAGAAGCUGGCCUCCACCCUGCUGGACGCCAUCACCGAUAAGGACCCCCUGGUGCAGGAGCAGGUCUGCAGUGCCCUGUGCUCCCUCGGGGAGGUGCGGCCGGUGGAGACGCUCCGUACCUGUGAGGAGUACCUGCGGCAGCAUGACAAGCUGGCGCACCCAUACCGAGCGGCGGUCCUGAGGGCCAUGGAGAGGGUCCUGAGCAGUCGCGCCAGUGAGCUGGACAAGGACACAGCCAGCACCAUCAUCCUCCUGGCCUCCAGCGAGAUGACCAAGACGAAGGUUCAGGACCUGGUCUGGGACUGGCAGCAGGCGGCGAGUGGCGUCCUGGUGGCCGUGGGAAGGCAGUUCAUCAGCAAGGUGAUGGAGGAGCUGCUGCGCAGGCUGCACCCUGGAACCCUGCCUCACUGCGCCGUGCUGCACACCCUCGCCAGCCUCUCGGUGGCCAACGCGUUCGGCGUCGUCCCCUUCCUGCCAUCCGUCCUGAGCUCCCUCCUGCCUGUGCUGGGCAUGGCCAAGCAGGACACGGUGCGCAUGGCGUUCUGCUCCGCUCUGCAGCGCUUCAGCGAGGGUGCCCUGGAGUACCUGGCCAACCUGGACCGGGCCCCAGACCCCACGGUCAGGAAGGACGCCUUUGCCGCCGACAUCUUCAGCGCCUACGAUGUUCUCUUCCACCAGUGGCUGCAGAGUCGAGAAGCCAAGCUCCGUCUUGCCGUGGUGGAGGCUCUGGGGCCUAUGAGCCAUCUGCUGCCCAGUGAGAGGCUGGAAGAGCAGCUGCCCAAGCUCCUCCCUGGGAUCCUCGCCCUCUACAAGAAGCACUCAGAGACCUUCUACUUGUCCAAGAGCCUGGGACAGAUCCUCGAGGCGGCCGUGAGUGUGGGCAGCCGCACAUUGGAGACCCAGCUGGAUGCCCUCUUGGCUGCACUGCACUCCCAGAUCUGUGUGCCUGUGGAGUCCUCAAGCCCCCUGGUGAUGAGCAACCAGAAGGAGGUGCUGCGCUGCUUCACUGUGCUGGCCUGCAGCUUGCCUGACCGCCUACUGGCCUUCCUGCUGCCCAGGCUGGACACCAGCAAUGAGAGGACCCGCGUGGGCACCCUGCAGGUGGUCAGACAUGUCAUCAACUCGGCUGCUGCUCAGAUGGAAGAUAAAAAGCCCUUUAUCCUCUCUUCCAUGAGGCUUCCUCUCCUGGACACCAACAGCAAGGUGAAGCGGGCAGUGGUGCAGGUGAUCAGUGCCAUGGCCCACCACGGCUACCUGGAGCAGCCUGGAGGUGAGGUGAUGAUUGAGUACAUCGUGCAGCAGUGCGCGCUGCCCCCUGAGCAGGAGCCUGAGAAGCCAGGCCCCAGCAGCAAGGACCCCAAGGCCGACAGUGUGCAGGCCGUCAGCGUGCGCACCCUCUACCUGGUCAGCACCACCGUGGACAGGAUGAGUCACGUCCUCUGGCCGUACCUGCUCCAAUUCCUCACUCCUGUGCGCUUCACCAGGGCCCUGACUCCGCUCUGCAGGAGCCUCGUGCAUCUGGCGCAGAAGAGGCAGGAGGCUGGGGCGGACGCCUUCCUCAUCCAGUAUGACGCCCAUGCGAGCCUCCCGUCUCCCUAUGCUGUAACCGCAAGACUGUUGGUUGUGUCUUCCAGCCCCUACCUGGGGGACGGACGUGGGGUGGCGGCGCUGCGUCUCCUCAGUGUUCUGCACCCUAACAUUCACCCUUUGCUGGGUCAGCAUUGGGAGACGACUGUCCCGCUGCUGCUGGGGUACCUGGAUGAGCACACGGAAGAGACCCUGCCACAGGAGGAGUGGGAGGACAAGCUGCUGGUGUUCCUGCGAGACACCCUGGCCAUCGUUUCUGACAACACGUGGAUCUGCCAGCUGAGCCUGGAGCUGUGCAGGCAGCUGCCCUGCUAUGAUGAGGCACCCCAGGAGAAGAACUUCCUGUACAAAUGCAUAGGAACCACCCUGGGUGCUGCUUCAAGUAAGGAGGUGGUGAGGAAGCACCUUCAAGAGCUGCUGGAAACAGCCAGAUACCAGGAGGAGGCAGAACGUGAGGGCCUCGCCUGCUGCUUCGGGAUCUGUGCCAUCUCCCACCUCGAGGACACGCUGGCCCAGCUGGAGGACUUCGUGAGGUCAGAGGUCUUCAGAAAAUCCAUCGGCAUUCUCAACAUUUUUAAGGAUCGAAGCGAGAACGAGGUAGAGAAGGUGAAGAGUGCUCUGGUCCUGUGCUACGGGCACGUGGCAGCCCGGGCCCCGCAGGAGCUGGUGCUGGCCAAAGUGGAGUCAGACAUCCUCCGGAACAUCUGCCAGCACUUCAACACCAAGGUUCUGGGAGUAAAGGUAGAAACCAAGGACCCAGCCUUGAAGCUGUGCCUGGUCCAGAGUGUGUGCAUGGUCAGCCGCGCCAUCUGCAGCAGCACCCAGGCUGGCUCCUUCCACUUCACCCGGAAAGCAGAGCUGGUGGCACAGAUGAUGGAGUUCAUCAGGGCAGAGCCCCCGGACUCCCUGAGGACACCUAUUCGGAAGAAAGCCAUGCUCACCUGCACUUACUUGGUCUCUGUGGAGCCGGCGCUGGACGAGCAGGCCCAGGCGGAUGUGAUCCGUGGCUGCCUGCACAGCGUCAUGGCCCUGCUGCCUGAGCCCAAGGAGGAGGACGGAGGCUGCCAGAAGUCCCUGUACCUGGAGACACUGCACGCCCUUGAGGGUCUGCUGACGAGCCUCCUGCAGCGGAACAUGACCCCCCAAGGCCUGCAGAUCAUGAUUGAGCACCUGAGCCCAUGGAUCAAGUCCCCAAGAGGUCACGAGCGGGCACGGGCCCUGGGCCUGAGCGCCCUCCUGCUGCGCCACUUCCUGGAGCAGCUGCGUGUCAGCGCCCUGGUGCCCUUCCACAACCUGGGCCUUCUCGUUGGCCUCUUCUCCCCACGGUGCGCGGACCUGUGGCCUGCCACCCGCCAGGAGGCCGUCGACUGCGUCUACUCCCUGCUCUACCUCCAGCUCGGCUAUGAGGGCUUCUCCCGGGACUACCGCGAUGACGUGGCGGAGCGGCUCCUCAGCCUCAAGGAUGGCCUCGCGCACCCUGACCCCACCAUUCUCUUCCACACCUGCCACAGCAUAGGCCAGAUUAUUGCCAAGCGCCUCCCACCUGACCAGCUCAUCAGCCUCUUGCUAACCAUGUUUGAGGCCCUGGGAGACCCCGAAAAGAACUGCUCCCGAGCAGCUACCGUCAUGAUCAACUGCCUGCUGCAGGAGCGGGGUGGCGUGCUCCAGGAGAAGGUGCCUGAGAUCGUGAGCGUGCUGCGCUCCAAGCUUCAGGAGGCCCAGGGAGAGCACGUCCUGCCGGCUGCCCAGCACAGCGUGUACCUCCUGGCCACCCAGCACUGCGCGGCCGUGGUGUCCAGCCUCCUGGGCAGCCCCCUGCCCUUGGACAGCCACACCUCCAUGCUGUGGCGGGCGCUGGCGGUGGAGCCUCGCCUGGCUGCUCAGGUCCUGGGACUACUGCUGGAGAAGAUGAGUAGGGACGUCCCAUUCAAGGAGAGCCGCGCCUUCCUGCUGGGCCGCACCCCAGAGCGCGUGGCCACGCUGCUGCCUCUCUCGGCCACCUGUGCACUAUUCGAGGUCCUGUCCACGCCUGCAGCGGGGCCCGCGGUGCUAGAGCUCUACCCCCAGCUGUUCGUGGCGCUUCUGCUGCGUGUCAGCUGCACCGUGGGUGUCCAGCUGCCCCGGAACCUGCAGGCCCAGGAAAGGAGGGGAGCCAGUCCAGCCCUAGCCGCCAGGAACCUGGAACCCUGCAGCUCCGCAGUGGACACCCUGCGGGCCGUGCUGCUCCGCAGCGGCAGCGAGGAUGUGGCACAGCGCAUGGACCUAGACGGAGGCUGGGAGCUGCUCGGGACCUCGGCGGGGCACGAGGAGGGGGCCACCAGGUUGGCCAGGGCCAUGGCUGAGCACGCAGGGCCCCGGCUCCCCCUGGUGCUGAAGACGCUGGCUGGCACACACAGCAGUGCAUAUGAGAACCAGAGGGUGACCAUCACCGCCUUCCUGGCCGAGCUGCUGAACAGCAACGUGGCCAACGACCUGAUGCUCUUGGACUCGCUGCUGGAGAGCCUGGCGGCUCGCCAGAAGGACACAUGCGCCAGCGUGCGAAGGCUGGUGCUCCGCGGCCUGGCCAACCUGGCCUCCGGCUGCCCUGACAAGGUGCGAGCCCACGGCCCCCAGCUCCUCACAGCCAUGAUUGGCGGGCUAGACGACGGGGACAACCCUCACAGCCCGGUGGCCCUGGAGGCCAUGCUGGGCCUUGCGAGGCUGGUGCACCUGGUGGAGGCCUGGGACCUGCGCUCAGGGCUGCUGCACGUGGCCAUCCGCAUCCGGCCUUUCUUCGACAGUGAGAAGAUGGAGUUCCGCACAGCAUCCAUCCGCCUCUUUGGGCACCUGAACAAAGUCUGCCAUGGAGACUGUGAGGACGUCUUCCUGGAGCAGGUGGUGGGCGGGCUGGCGCCCCUGCUGCUGCACCUGCAGGACCCUCAGGCCACCGUGGCCAGCGUUCGCCCUGCGCAUGUGUGGCCCCAACCUGGCGUGUGAAGAGCUCUCAGCCGCUUUCCAGAAACACCUGCAGGAGGGACGGGCCCUGCACUUCGGGGAGUUCCUCAACACCACCUGCAAGCACCUGAUGCACCAUUUCCCAGACCUCCUGGGCCGCCUGCUGACCACCUGCCUGUUCUACUUCAAGAGCAGCUGGGAGGACGUCCGAGCUGCUGCACCACUGUUCACUGGUGAGCAGCACCCCUGCCCCGCCCCCAUGCCGCCCAGCAGCCCUGCCUGAUGCCCCCACUUCACAGGGUUCCUGGUGCUGCACGCGGAGCCCAGGCAGCAGCCGCAGGUGGACCUGGAUCAGCUCAUUUCGGCGCUCCAGAUCCUGCUGAAGGACCCGGCCCCCGAGGUGCGGACCAGGGCUGCUGAGGCCCUGGGCCGCCUGGUGAAGCUCGCCUGAGGCUCCGGCCAGCGCCCCCAGCAAGGAGUACACACCCAGACCUGUGUCUGAGCUCCAAGACAGGGCCUCCCGAGGACCCCAGCCUGGGCACACAGCUGGAGGGGCCUGGCCCCAGGACAGGCCCUGCCAGGGACCAAACCGCAGCCCCUCAGUGAGGCCAGACAGGGUGUGGGAGUCUGUGUGCCCAAUAAACUCAUCUGCUCCCAGCGAGUGACUGACAGGAUGCAGUGCCGCGGCCUCUUAGGGGACGGGCCAGAGGGUGCCCUGGGCUGGCUGUGUUGUCCCCACUGUUUCUGCAAAAUGGAGGGGAAGGCUCGGCGCUGUGGUGGGGGCGGCUGUGUUGGCAACCCCAAUUCAAGAAGGUGGGAGCACCAGGCAGCGCAGGGUAAGGCUCUAUUGACUUCAGCACAACCGCCCCAGCCUGACAUAGGCAGGACAGCUAGGUGAAGAGGCGGAUGGUCCCGUCUGCCCCCGAGGAGAAGACCCACGGCUGGGUGGGGUGGAAGACGACGUCCAGCACUCCCAGGUCUCGUGUCAGCGCGUGUCCCUUCAGCACCUUGACGGGCACCAGCAGGGGGUUCUGCAGAAGGUCACUGUGGGGACGAGGAGGGCUCAGGACACGGACAGACACUACUGCCCUGGGGAGGGGCCAGGCAGGGUCAGCACUCACUUGUACACCAUGCCAUGGCAGACGAUGACGCUGCCGUCGUCCGAGCCUGACGCGAAGAGUGGGUACCGGGGGUGGAAGGCCACAGCCCGCAGAGCCUUCUUGUGGUGUCUGGGAGAAGGGAACCAGGUGGAAAGCAGGCUCAGGCUGGAGGGAGGGGCUCUGCUGGCCGCCUCCACCCCCCAGCUCUCCUCACCUCAGCAUCCUGUAUGGCUUGGUGGAAAGAUCCAGGUCAAACCACA
This is an RNA transcript of Piliocolobus tephrosceles (Ugandan red Colobus), 6139 nucleotides long. It is a transcript of the gene named maestro heat like repeat family member 1, with no coding region annotated. NCBI's taxonomy places the organism in Eukaryota, Metazoa, Chordata, Mammalia, Primates, Cercopithecidae. The transcript is spliced from 43 exons. The record is from RefSeq and is a predicted model, not a curated record.